CCUACGGGAGGCAGCAGUGGGGAAUUUUGGACAAUGGGCGCAAGCCUGAUCCAGCAAUGCCGCGUGAGUGAAGAAGGCCUUCGGGUUGUAAAGCUCUUUUGUCAGGGAAGAGACGGUGGGGGCUAAUAUCCCCUGCUAAUGACGGUACCUGAAGAAUAAGCACCGGCUAACUACGUGCCAGCAGCCGCGGUAAUACGUAGGGUGCAAGCGUUAAUCGGAAUUACUGGGCGUAAAGCGUGCGCAGGCGGUUUUGUAAGUUUGUCGUGAAAUCCCCGGGCUCAACCUGGGAAUGGCGAUGAAGACUGCAAGGCUAGAAUCUGGCAGAGGGGGGUAGAAGUUCCACGUGUAGCAGUGAAAUGCGUAGAGAUGUGGAGGAACACCGAUGGCGAAGGCAGCCCCCUGGGUCAAGAUUGACGCUCAUGCACGAAAGCGUGGGGAGCAAACAGGAUUAGAUACCCUGGUAGUCCACGCCCUAAACGAUGUCUACUAGUUGUCGGGUUUUAAUUAACUUGGUAACGCAGCUAACGCGUGAAGUAGACCGCCUGGGGAGGUACGGUCGCGAAGAGUAACGUUACAAUAGUUAGUUAGUAGCGUUGNGAGNGCGACGGACGACGACGAGGGAGGAGG
RNAcentral lists this ribosomal RNA (627 nucleotides) under uncultured bacterium. Its description in RNAcentral is "bacterial SSU rRNA". The stretch from base 1 to 543 matches the Rfam family "Bacterial small subunit ribosomal RNA", at positions 338 to 873 of the family's 1533-position model. The record is from RNAcentral.